RNAcentral lists this ribosomal RNA (421 nucleotides) under uncultured bacterium. RNAcentral's name for it is "bacterial SSU rRNA". It matches the Rfam family "Bacterial small subunit ribosomal RNA", at positions 30 to 447 of the family's 1533-position model. The record is from RNAcentral.
AUUGAACGCUGGCGGUAUGCUUAACACAUGCAAGUCGAACGGUAACAGGUCUAGCUUGCUAGGCGCUGACGAGUGGCGGACGGGUGAGUAACGCGUGGGAAUCUGCCUUAUAGUGGGGGAUAGCCCGGAGAAAUUCGGAUUAAUACCGCAUACGCCCUACGGGGGAAAGCUGGGGAUCUUCGGACCUGGCGCUAUGAGAUGAGCCCGCGUUAGAUUAGCUAGUUGGUGGGGUAAAGGCCUACCAAGGCGACGAUCUAUAGCUGGUCUGAGAGGACGAUCAGCCACACUGGGACUGAGACACGGCCCAGACUCCUACGGGAGGCAGCAGUGGGGAAUAUUGCACAAUGGGCGAAAGCCUGAUGCAGCAAUACCGCGUGUGUGAAGAAGGCCUGAGGGUUGUAAAGCACUUUCAAUCGUGAAG